This 451-nucleotide ribosomal RNA is filed under the name uncultured soil bacterium. RNAcentral's name for it is "bacterial SSU rRNA". It matches the Rfam family "Bacterial small subunit ribosomal RNA", at positions 951 to 1384 of the family's 1533-position model. The record is from RNAcentral.
UAGUGAUUAACGCGAAGAACCUUACCUGGGCUAGACAACGGCGGACCGUCCUAGAAAUAGGAUUUUCCCUUCGGGGACCGCCGGUUCAGGUGCUGCAUGGCUGUCGUCAGCUCGUGCCGUGAGGUAUUGGGUUAAGUCCCGCAACGAGCGCAACCCUCGUCCUUAGUUGCCACCAUUCAGUUGGGCACUCUAGGGGGACUGCCGGCGUUAAGCCGGAGGAAGGUGGGGACGACGUCAAGUCAUCGUGGCCCUUAUGUCCAGGGCCACACACGUGCUACAAUGGGCGGUACAAAGGGUCGCAAACCCGCGAGGGGGAGCCAAUCCCAAAAAGCCGCUCUCAGUUCGGAUUGGAGUCUGCAACUCGACUCCAUGAAGUUGGAAUCGCUAGUAAUCGCGGAUCAGCACGUCGCGGUGAAUACGUUCCCGGGCCUUGUCACACCGAAUCGAAUUU